This is a long non-coding RNA of Triticum aestivum (bread wheat), 1821 nucleotides long. RefSeq lists it as uncharacterized. The transcript has 6 exons. Lineage: Eukaryota; Viridiplantae; Streptophyta; Magnoliopsida; Poales; Poaceae. The record is from RefSeq and is a predicted model, not a curated record.
GCCUCCUCGCGCACUCGCGCCCGCUCCUCCCGCACGCUCGCCGCGCCCUCGCCUCUCUCUUUCUCCCUCCAAACCCUGCCACGCGCCCGCCUCCCUGCCCCGCCGCCGCUCGCCCGGGCACCCAUCCAUGGCCUCACGCCCAGCCGUCUCCUUCUCCUAUCCCAAACCUAGCCGCCGCAUCGCCUCGUUCCAGCUCUCUUCCCCUCUCUCGAUCGAUCUCCUCUUCAAACCCUAGAUGGCGCCCGCUCGCUCCCUUCCACGCCGCCGCCGCUCGCUGUGCUCCCCGUCCAGCCGUGCCUUCCACGCCGCUGCCGCUCGCUGUGCUCCUCAUACACGGGCAACACAAGAAGGCCGUAGCGGGAGCAAGGCUCACGAUCUCUGCCUUCACAACGGCUCUAGAGCCCCGACGAGGCGAGGUGGUCUCUCUCCAUUUCCCCCCCCCCACCACCCUCUCACCCGUCCUACUUCUUCUACGUAUUUUGACUUUUGUUUUCCUACAGAUUGGUCCGUUUGGUCGAUCCCCUCGGUUCUAUGUUCGAUUUGUGUCAGGCAGCCUCGUCUUCGUCCAAGAAUCUGCAGGUGUGUGUGUUGUUGAGGCUAGCAAACAAGCCAAUGGCAUUGCAUAAAUGCUUGCAUGUGCCAUCAGUGAGUGGUCUUGCGGAGUUGCAGGACUGGGCAGGAGGACCGUAGGCUGCACACACAGACGAGGAUGUCGAGUUGUCCACUGCGAAAGGAGUGUCGACCGCGAAUACAAAGAGGAGGUUGAGAGAUCGCCAUUCAUCUAGGCUCCGCAGGAGGAGCGCAUGCUAUAGAGAUGGACGAUGAGGCUAGCCAUCCAUUUUGCAUCAACACUCUUUUCACCUCGUCUGGCCAUCCCUCCACCAGGCUUCUUCAAUGGGCAAGAAGAAUAACAUGGAGAGAAGUCUUCCACUGACUGAUUUAACAUCUGUCAUGCACAGGUCGACAAAUCUAUAGAAAUCUAGAGUUCGCCAAAGCUGGUCACGCUGUCGCAGAUCGGUUCAUGAUCGCGUGGGGGCAUCCUCUGGAGCUUCCCUGAGGUGCUAGAUACGUUAAGCUGGAACAAAAACAACCAGAGACAUGGUCCUUGUUGCUACACAGCUCACACAAGUGUAGCAGACGCACGUCGUCAGGGCAAGGAGCAAACGCUGGAUGCGAGGGAGCAGCAGAUGGUGCGCUGGUUGCGGCCUGUGGUAGAAUUGGCGUCAGGAACCGGCAAGAUGGCGGCCGUGCGCGGAGGUAGGCCAAACAUGGUGGAUCUCGCCGCGGCCAUCAAAAGGAGACGUGCGGCAGUUUGAGGCAGAAGAACGCAGAGGUCGGCUAAGUGCAGCUGUUGUGGAAGGAAUUCGCCGGGCCGCCGCCUUGGAGCGAUUGGAGAAGAUCCAGAUUGAGAAAUUGAUAUUUUAGCAAAGGUCUGCUUUGGCUGAGGGGUCAGUUGCAAAUUCGCAAGAGCGGCUGCCGGUGUGUUUUUGUAGAUUCGUGUUACUUUUGAUCCCAUGCAUGAGAUCUUAAUCGGCUGGCCGAGGAGUCGCGGGAUAUAGGGAUGCAUGAGCCAUUGAUAUUCAUCAAACACAUAAUUUGAAUAGAGCUUGUGAAAAAAUGCCCAUAGAAAUAGUCACUUUGGAUUGGUUGUGUCAAAAGGAUGCAACAUUUGUAACAUUUCUUCUCAUAUUCAUGAGACUUUCACUCUGUUGUUGCAUUAGUCAAGUUCAAUUUCAUUACAUAUGUGUGCAUGUAUCAGUUUUCAUAUGUAAAGUGAUAUAUUUAAGAGUUAUGAGAAAUUUUGCCAAAUUUGAUGGGCAC